This 205-nucleotide microRNA precursor is filed under the name Oryza barthii. RNAcentral's name for it is "MIR812 microRNA precursor family". It matches the Rfam family "MIR812 microRNA precursor family". The record is from Rfam by way of RNAcentral. Lineage: Eukaryota; Viridiplantae; Streptophyta; Magnoliopsida; Poales; Poaceae.
AAUAAGUUUAAUUUCAGUAUUAUUUAUGUUCAACGUUUGACCGUUCGUCUUAUUUAAAAAAAAGAUUUUUUAUUGUUAUUAGAUGAUAAAACAUGAAUACUAUUUUAUUUUAUGUGUGACUAAUUUUUUUAAUAUUUUUUAUAAAUUUUUUAAAUAAGACGGAUGAUCAAAACGUUAAACACGGAUAUUUAUUUAUGGUUGUAAU